RNAcentral lists this transfer RNA (96 nucleotides) under Streptomyces albiflavescens. Its description in RNAcentral is "tRNA-Ile". Lineage: Bacteria; Bacillati; Actinomycetota; Actinomycetes; Kitasatosporales; Streptomycetaceae. The record is from RNAcentral.
ACACGAGGUAGCCGGGCAGUCGGCCGUCGUCCACCAAAUGGGUGAAGUGCUGGUCGAGGCGGGCCAGCGCCGUCGGAUCGAGGCCGGCCUCGCGUG